CCAUCUCCAUCCUUGCAGCGGCUGAGUGUUCUCUGAAGAUUGGACCGUAUAAUGUAUAAGUUUAAUGAUACAUCGUUAAGGUUUGAUUGAAUAUGGAAAGUAGAAUAAAGUUAAAUAUCUCUAUAGCUAUAAUUACGAAAAAAACGUAUUACUCAAAGGAUAAAAUUACUUAUUAACCCUAUUUUGAUUUAACCGUGCACUCUAGAGAUUAUAUUUGGGAUUAAUCUGUGCCAUCUAAUUAUAUGAAUCUAACUGCUAUGAUCGGCUCCUAUUUUAUAAGCUUAUACUAUAAGUUGUUUAUAAGCUUAUUUUGUUAAAUACUUAUCAAGAGUUUAUAAAUUUUUAAAUAAUUUAUAAAAUGCUUACACCUCUAAAUAGAUCGUUAGGCUUGUUAAGGUACCCCAACUUGAUGAACAUCCACUUGUUUACCAAUGUGGAGAAGAGAUGGUAACUCUAGGGGUUGGGAGAUGAUGAAUUGGUUAAUCUAAGUUCUUUAAAAUAAUUUAUAAUCAAUUUUAAAGAAUUUAUACGUUCUUCUAUCUCAAUUUAUAUCAUAAUUUUAUAUGUAAUAAUUAUUUUAUAGAUAUUAUUCAAUCAUGGUUUAUUAUUUUCAUCAUAUACCCUUUCAAAUUCAUCUCUAGCUCUUCAAUUUUCUCUAUCUAACAAGAUGAUCCUUUUCUAACUAUAGAUUCAAUUAUUUAAACAUUUUAAUAAUUUAUAAACUUUUAAGAAAUUACAUCUUAUAAAUUCUUAAAACAUAGUAUUAUAAAAAUAAUUAAGCUCGGUCAAGCAUUCUCAUAUUGUCUGGUUGUCCAGUAAAAGUAUUGUGAGGCCCAAUAUCCAUUUCUAACAUGGUAUCAGAGCCAACCCAAUCCAAUGAUGGGUCCCCCCAAUAUCGUUGUCAACGGAUGGCGUUUGGGAUAAGUCCACGCUGCGCGUGCGGGGGGUGUAUUGAAGUGUCCCACAUUGGAUUGGAGAUAGUGGCAUGAGCCACUUUAUAUGGUGAGGCAACCCUCUCCCUUAUAAGGCCUUUUAAGGGAGGAAUGGGCCCAAUAUCCAUUUCUAACAACAACAAAAAAAGUUGAACUUGAUAUUUGGAAUGACUUCAUGUGUCCCACAUUGGAUUGGAGAUAGUGGCAUGAGCCACUUUAUAUGGUGAGACAACCCUCUCCCUUAUAAGGCCUUUUAAAGGGAGNAUAUAUAUAUAUAUAUAUAUAUAUAUAUAUAUAUAUAUAUAUAUUAGUGUGAAUAAUAAUUAAUUAUUUUAUUUAAGUGAAAGUUUGGGAGUGGGCUUCAGCCCACCCUAGCCUCCACAUGGAUCCGCCUCUGAUGACUAGAAUUAAUGCUACUCCACGUGAUUGCUACUUUGCAUUGAUGAGUUAAUUGUUAAAACGGGAUCAUAACUUUUAGUGUUUUUCAGAAAGAGUAAUACAUGUUACGAAAUUCGAAAAUGAGAACUAUAGAUUUCAUAUUUUACAUUUACACUUCUAUUUCGGGCUAAGAUGGAAGUUGUAGCCUGUAGUCUUCAUUUGAUGUGUUAAAUAAAUUGAAAACUAUAGUCCUCAUUUUUAAAUUCCGUAAUAUAUAGUCCUCUUUUAAUCUAUAAGAGAUGUAACAAAACAGAAGAUAGUAACCAAACCUUCACACAACAGGGCGAUAAUGUGAUGUUUUCAACAUGUUGGAUGCUUGGAAGAGUUUGAUUAAAUGAGCCUCCAAGAAAAUCUUUUGCAGAUAAAAAGCCAUCAAACCCAGAAAAGUCACAAAAUUCUUCAUCAUCAUAAAAAACUUCCUUUAAUCUGUAUUUUUAUUUUUUCAAGAUUUGGGGUCCAAAUUCUCAGCUCCAUAUACCAAUCUCCUAGAUCAUAACUACUAUAUAAAAACUUCAACAUCGACAACUCUUUCAAACUAGUAGAUCGAUCGGAUACACAAACUCUCACCUCUCUCUACAAACGACAAGGUCAAGACUUCCAAUCGAGGGCUAAAUUUAUUGAUCUACGACGUCUGAAGAUAUUUACACGAGGGUUUGGGGGUGUGGGAGCCCCAGAAGCAAUUUUUUUGAGCAUUCCGUACACUUCAUUUUCAUGCAUUUUUUUAACAAUCACAUAAUAUAAUACAUAAUUGUUUGCAAUUCAAUUAAUUCAACAUCAAGUAGAUUGAAAAGCAUACAAAAACAUACUUUUAUGCAUUCUUUUAAAAAAAUAUAUUUCAUUUUCUAAACAAAUAAACUAACUUUCAUUGUUAAUAAUUAGUAAUUUUACUUUUCAUUAACUUUAAAAUGGACUCAAAUUCAACAUUAAAAAUUAAAUAAGAGAAUAGGAUAAAAAUAACAUAAAUAUAUAACAAAUCGAUGUACAAUGUCAAAUCAAUGUACAAUGUCAAAUAAUUAAUAUGGAUAGUUAGAUAUAUUAUAAAUAAUGUAUUAUAUUUUUUCUUCUAUUUCUUAUUUAUAUACAUAUAUAUAGAGAUAUAAAAUAAAAUAUAUAUCUAUAUUUAAAGUAAAAUAAAUAAAUAGAUAAAUAAACACUCAAAAUUUGGGAGGGGCUUCAGCCCCCCUAGCCCCUGAAUCCGCCACUACCGACGGUAUUUGGUUAAUCACAUGUUCAGUAACCCCAAAACCUACAGUAAUCGUUAAACUCUUGAGUUGAUCCCCUACAGUAAUUGUUAAAUUCUUGAGUUGAUCCCACUGCACAUCCGAUCGAGUUCGAUCGAUAACUCCACAUCCGAGUUCGAUCGAAGCUUCUUCGGUAGCAAACAACUUCGCAUCGUAAAAUAAAUUAAUGAAGGGGGUGGUGGUCCAAAGGUUUAUCGAGCGCUUGGAUAGAAUAAUUGUCUUAACAACAUCGUUCAUAGGCAACAACCAAAAGAUGUGAAAUAUCACCGAUUUCGGCAGCUCACUGAGUCGAUCCAUCUAAUGGUCUCCCAAAUCGAAUCCUGUGAAACAUAACUAACUUAAAAUUUACCUAAACAUAAUCCGAAGCAAUAAACUUGUCAACUCUCGAAGAUUGAUUACCUCGAAAUUAACACUUAGUGGGAUAGUUAGAGAGAGAAGGGGUUGACGGUGAGGGGAGGCGGAUAGGGAAUUGGGGAUUGCAAUUUCUAGGGUUUGCUGUUAUAUAUAUAUAUCGAGAGAGAAAUGGGAUUUUGUAGAUCCUGAUAGUAUAUAGAUCUAAAUUAGAACCAUACAUUUUAUUCAUGUGGCGCAAUAGGAUCACGACAUGUAGCGGAGGUCUUCUAAGUUGGUGGCCUUCAAAAAAUACACGGAUGGUAAAAAUAGUCAAUACAAAUUAAGAUAAAAAAAAAAAACGAAUACCCGACGACUGACGGGUACCCAGAGGUCGCACCGUCCAGCGGCCGCCGGGUCGCUUCUUCACAAAGACACAUUGAGAGCUGCACUCGGUGGCCGCCUUGAUUACACCGUAAAUAUGCAUGAUGUUGCCAUAUGGAUAAUGUUUAUAUAUAUACACAUUUGUAUUCAAUUAUAUGUAUAAUUAAGGUGUGAGCACUAGCUUUCCUCAAAAAAAAAAAAGGUGUGAGCACUAGCGAAAUGCACCUUCGCGCGAGCACCUGGUAUAUGCGGCCACCGGUAUUUUUUUUGUUUAAUCUUAAAUAUUAAAUUUAUAUCUCUAUUCUAUCUCUCUGUGACUUUUUUUUUUAAUCUAGAAAGGUAUCUGUUACAUGUCACGAUCAUAGUGCGUUAUAUAAACACAAAGUACAGUCCAGAUUUGGAUCUAUACAACCACCUCAUUUUAUCAAAUUUACACUAGUGUAUAAUCCCAUUAAAAUUUGACGAGAAUCAUUUGAUGUUUAAUUUAUAAGAAAAAAAGAUGUAGAAAUUAUUUCAUAAUAUGUUUAUGAAUUAUAGAGAUUUUUUUACUAAAAAAGUAGUAACGUGACAUAUUAAACUAUACAUAUUAAUAAAAAACAAAGUCUACAUACAUGUCAAACUAAAAUGAAAAAGUAUAUUAAAUAUGACUUCCAUCCACCCUUUUUAUUCUACCCAUUUCAUCUGCAAGAAAUCCAAAUAAAGUGAACAAAAUUUUUAAAUGAUUAAAUCUCAUAGCAUGAUACCUCACAACCUAUUGAAAACUUCAUUAUAUUAAUUGAAUUAAAUUUAUGGACUUGUACAUAACAAUAGAAAGAGCCGCCUUAAUUUCUCGAUCAAACCUCAUACCCACCUCGGCUUUAAAAAGAGUGAUAAAGCUAACAUCAAAAUUCGACGGGAAUUGAUCAAAAUUGAGCUCCAGAUCCUCAUUCUUGAUGUCAACAAUUUUUUUCUCUUUGUAUAUCUCUAAAUUUGGAUUGCAACUUCAUCUUGGCUCAAUCAAAUAAAGCACCUACAGGUUUAUGUGAUUAACUUGUGUGGCGUAUAANUAAAUGACAAAUUGAAGCAUGAACUUGCACUCAAACCGGACAUGCAGACUCCAUGUUAAGGCAAACUUUUAUACAUAGAACUCAUAAUGAAUAUGUGCCUAGACUAAAAAGCUGAAGCAUGUUCGACUGAUCAAGCAAAUGGAUUAGUAAUUUAAUUAUACAUCAUUCCCAACAACCCUUAGCAUUAACUUGUAUGAUUCUCCACUAUGAAGCCGUUUAUCGACUUGAGCACAAAAUUGAUCAAGCAAGUGUCCCCAAUCGAUCUCCUUGCCCCAUCUCUCAGUUCUUGCUGCGACAUGCCAUAUUCGCGCCCGGGAUUCUCAUUCUUGUGCUCCUUCAACAGAUCAACGAUCACAAGGAGCACGUGCUCAAGCCUUCUUGCAGGCCAUCUGUAGCUCUUUCUCAUCAAAUCCACCAGUUUCUCGAACCCAAUUGGAUAUUGGGCCCAUUCCUCCCUUAAAAGGCCUUAUAAGGGAGAGGGUUGCCUGACAAUAUAAAGUGACUCAUACCACUAUCUCCAAUCCAAUGUGGGACACUUCAAUACACCCCCGCACGCGCAGCGUGGACUAUCCCAAACGCCAUCUGUUGACAACGAUAUUGGGGGGGCCCAUCAUUGGAUUGGGUUGGCUCUGAUACCAUGUUAGAAAUGGAUAUUAGGCUCAUUCCUCCCUUAAAAGGCCUUGUAAGGGAGAGGGUUGCCUCACCAUAUAAAGUGGCUCAUGCCACUAUCUCUAAUUCAAUGUGGGACACUUCAAUAUGACGUGACAGUGGAUGAUGAUGCAAGGUGAUAAGAAGAUGACCGGAGUGGAGGUGAAGCUUGGACCAAACAAACUUAUGGCCUGUUUGAUCGAUGCAAGGUAAUCUAUCUUUUAUGAUUUCUCUCAUUCAAUUCCUUUUGGAAUUUUUGUUAUGAUCAUUAUAUUAAUGGCUAUCUAUGACUAGCUAUUUUAUUGUUACAAUGUUGAUUAUAGGUUUUGAUUUGUUUGUAUUUGUGUGAUGCGUUUUGUUGCUCUAUUAAUUAUUCUUGUCUAAUACCAAAUUAACCACAUUAAUUGAUCUAGCUCUUUAUAUAUUUCUUAAUGUGCUACAAUUUCAUGAUCUAUUAACUAGCUAGGCAUCUUCAAAUACUAAUUAAACUGUAAAGCACGUUACUAAUCAACUGAGAGAUUUUAUUAAGUGUUUAAUUACGACUUAAAGUUUUAAUUACAAAAAAAAGCUCAAAGAAAUUUUGAGAACCGACUUAAUUAAUUGAUCAUUCGUUAUUAACUGGUAUUAGAAAUUAUUGCUCUACGCCAGAUUUUUGGUUUGAUUCGGUUAUAAUUUUAAAAAUUUCAACUAGUUCGGUUUGAUUUACUCGUCUUAUUUGGUUUGAUUUACUUAUUUUAAAUCAAAUAUAAAUGAGAUUUGAUAGUCGAUCGAACUGAAAACCAAAUGAUAGAUAUAUACUAUUAGACUCGGACAAUAAAGCACAAUUCAAUUGAUAAGACGUUUUUCCUUCAUCCAUGAGACUCGGGUUCGAGUUGUUAUGGAAGGCGAAAAAUAGAUUCAUUAUUAAUUUUUUUUUUUCAAAUAAUUGCUUUUAGACUUGAAAUUGACAUUCAGUCCCACAGUUUUCCACAAAUCAUAAAUCCAAUUUUCUUGAAUAUAUUCCCACGUACAAAUACAAUGACUAAGUGCCAAGACAUAAAGCAAAAAAACUUUCAUAGUCUCCACCCAAUUAAAAAAAACCUUCUUCAAAAUGAUUAACCAAACCAAACAAGAAUCAAGAAUUCCAAAUUAAUCCAUUAUCUUUCUAUUCUUGCUUAUAUUAAUUAUUCAUCAUAAUCCACGCUCUUGUGCUUCGAUAUAAUUAAUUCUAAUGUAUCAGAAAUGAAAUAAUCGAUCAAAUUGGAUUCAUGCAAGUUUAAUUGGAGCUGAAUUCAAGUAAUGAAAAAGUAGAAUUAAAUUGAAAAUAAAUUAUCCUCAAGAUGCAGCAGCCAUUCUUGAACGUUUCAACCAUGCACGGUCAAAUGGGGACCAUGUGACACGAAACUUCCCUCACAGUCACACCUUCCAUUCCCAUUACAACAUCUCGAAUGAUUAAUUGAAUGAGACUACGAUCACUAAUUAGUUUAUAUUAUCUUUGGGAGAAGCUAACGAUCAUCAGAUUAUAGUUUUUAAUGGAAGUUUCAAGCCAUAACAGUUCAAAGACAAGUCUUAUCGUUCACGAAGAAGACGCAAACAUAUCAGCAUUCCGCCGAAUAAACAAGGUCCUAAUCCUCUCAUUAGUGUUCUUAAUCAUCUUAUUAACACUAACCUUAGCCGCCUUAAUCGUCUACCUCGUGCGCCUCGACAACAACGAUUCUCCGUCUCCCGCGAGAGCAUACUGCUACGUCAAUUCCGACGCUCCGGCGUGUUCAAGCAUCGUCAAUCUCAUCAUUAGCGGCAAAUUCGUCUCAGAUCCAAAUCAGAUCUUCGCUCUCUCUCUCCAAGCAGCAGCCGAAGAUCUCCAACGUUUGAUCGCUUCAUCAUUAAUUGAGUUCAACAACUGCUCCAGCUCGUUGCGCGAUGCGCUGGAUCAGAUCCGUGACCCGCUGGCUGCGAUGCGGGUCGACCCGUUUGUGGAGUUCAAGAGCGACGAGCAGAGGGGAGAGAUGAUGAAUCGGAUCGCGGCGGCGGCGGAGGACGUGGAGACAUGUCUGGAUAAGAUUGGUGGUGGCGAGGAGCUGGGGAAGGUGAAGGCGUAUUUGAAUGGCGCCGGAGAUUUUUUGAUCGGCUACGCGGAGGCGUUGCAGAUGUUGGAGACGGAUAAAUGGGCGAGGGUUUAUAAUAAUCAUGAGAUUAGACAGUUUAGUAUUUGUAUGUGCGUGUCGCAGUUGACGUUCAUUAUUGCCUUGUUUUGCUCACAUUUUAGAAUUGUCAAGUCUCGUCGAGAAUUUUGAGGGAAUUUUUUUCAAAUAUAUUUGACUUAAGUAUUUCAUCAUUGUAUUAUUUAACGAAUUUAUUUGAAUGAAUCGUUGACUUAUGUGGAGUUGGGAAAAGCUUAUUGGCAUUGGAAGAGAUUUCUGAUGAUAUGAUGAUGGGAGUGGAGUAAGUGAAGUUGGGAGUGAAGAAAGCGUAAAAGCGUUUGGUUGUUUGAUAGGAAGAGAUUCCAACUUUUAUUAUUGAAAUGAAUUAUGAUUUUAAUAGUAUCUACCAUAGACAUAUAUUUGGUUACAACUUGUUGAUUGGUUUGCACUCCCUCGUUUUCUUAUUCUUGACUUUGCUCUACUUCUUGACCUGGG
This 7634-nucleotide long non-coding RNA is filed under the name Salvia miltiorrhiza (redroot sage). Its description in RNAcentral is "long non-coding RNA (SMIL_LNC007245)". Lineage: Eukaryota; Viridiplantae; Streptophyta; Magnoliopsida; Lamiales; Lamiaceae. The record is from RNAcentral.